GACGAACCGAGCGAACGUUAUUCGGAAUCACUGGGCUUAAAGGGCGCGUAGGCGGGCGAUCAAGUCAGGGGUGAAAGCCCCCAGCUCAACUGGGGAAGUGCCUCUGAUACUGGUCAUCUCGAGGGAGGUAGGGGCGUGCGGAACUUCCGGUGGAGCGGUGAAAUGCGUAGAUAUCUAUUGGAAUGCCGAUGGUGAAGACGAGCGACUGGGCCUGCAUUGACGCUGAGGCACGAAAGCGUGGGGAGCAAACAGG
This 253-nucleotide ribosomal RNA is filed under the name uncultured bacterium. RNAcentral's name for it is "partial 16S ribosomal RNA". It matches the Rfam family "Bacterial small subunit ribosomal RNA", at positions 524 to 776 of the family's 1533-position model. The record is from RNAcentral.